AUAAAGCUUUAGUUUUCACAGUUUUAGUGUAACAGUAUUUUAAUGUGUUCAGAUAUGAUUUUAACAUGUGCACCUGUUUCCAUUUAAAGGUUCCUCAAUUCAAAAUAUAAAAACUUCCAAUGUUUCCCAUCGGCCCUUUCACUUUCGGGCCAUCUUUGGGUACUAAUUUAUUGUUAAGGUUGGUGCUAUUUGCAGCACAGGCAGGUCCAAUGAAGGAACUUCAAUAGACUGAUGAGGACCAGCCUAUAACAGUCAGAUGAAUGAACAUGCAGGUACAGACAACAGGUUUUUCACAAUCCUCUGGAGUAAGAUCCUCCUUGAAGCAGAGAUGUCUUUGCUUCAGGCAGAUCGAGUAGACACAGAUCCCUCCUCUUUUUUUUUUGAAGCGCACCACCUCCAAAACUUUGCUUUCCAAAAGCUGGACCUUUUCUUUGUCUUUGUAUUCUAGCUUUUAUGUCUUGCAUGUCUGCGGAGAGAAAGUUCAUUGAAGAUUUGAGCCCCAUAACAGACUACAAUGUUGUCUGCUGUUGCUUGUUCCUUUUUCCUUUUUUUUUUUGAUAAAGGCAAUUUUGUAGGAGUAACAAGUGGGUGGCCUUCACUUUUCAUUUUAGCUUUGGUAUGUAAUAUUACUGCAAUUCAGCAGAUUAUGUCUCUGAUGUGGUUCUUUGAGUGCUUCUUUGAGCCGCCAUCUUGGCCUCGACUUUCUCAUUACCCAGAGUAACUCACGUUCUCGGAGUACUGAGCACAUGCAGAGCCCUCAAACUGUUGUUAUAUAGAAUUUUUCCUCUGCAGGAACAAUCGUGUAUAUAGUGAUAUUUACAUUUGUGUAAAAGUGGUUCAUGUAAGGGGCGCCUCAGUGGCUCACCUGGUAGAGAGUGUACCAUUAGGACUGGGCUCGAAUCUGACCCACGACCCCUUGCU
Molecule: long non-coding RNA, 921 nt
Organism: Seriola aureovittata
Lineage: Eukaryota; Metazoa; Chordata; Actinopteri; Carangiformes; Carangidae
Exons: 3
Source: RefSeq, a predicted model, not a curated record